Cyprinus carpio (common carp) is the source of this 928-nucleotide non-coding RNA. The record is from the annotation of a RefSeq genome assembly. NCBI's taxonomy places the organism in Eukaryota, Metazoa, Chordata, Actinopteri, Cypriniformes, Cyprinidae.
CCUGAAAUCUGUCACAUAAAAUUUUGAUGUUUUGUUUUGCUGUAUACACAGCACUUUAAACUAUAAAAUGUUCUCAAGCUGGUAAACAUACAGUACAUACAGUGGCUUUUUAAGUCAGCGAGCUAUAUUGAUUUACUUACAUUCAGUUUAGACUAUUGGAGAUCACAAGAACAUCAGUUUAUGCAUUUGUAUCAGCCCCUCGAAGUAUACAGCAUCUGGUGACACCUGCCAGAGACAUCACUGCACUGUGAUUGGGUGUUAAAAAACACUAGCUUCAUUUGUCUGUAUGUAGGCUGUUAUGGUAGUUCUGCAAAGCUCAGGAGGAAUUCAUCAUUCUAAACAAUGGCUUUCUGUUUGCUACUAGUUUUAAUGGCAUUCAUUGGUGCGAGUAUACAAGACAGCAUUGCCCCAACAUCUCCUGUAGUCUAUGGAAAUGUCAAUGAAAAAGUGACGAUCUCUUGUAAAUACGACUACACUGUGUCAAUGAAUAAUCUACAGUGGUAUCGACAUUAUCUCGACUCUAUGCCGGAAUUUCUUGUUCUAAUCAUGGAGUCGGGACAAAAUCAAACGGCUACACCUCCUCAUCCUCGGCUGACAGCUUCAGUUAAUAAAGAUAACAAAAUGGUGAAUCUGGAAAUCUUUCCUGCAGAUGUGAAGGACUCUGCUGCGUAUUACUGUGCACUGCAGCCCACAGUGGCAGGAAACGCAUGAACACCAUACAAAAACCUACUCAGAGCUCAACAGAGAACAAAUGGUUAAGAUCAACCUAUGAGACCAGAGUGUGCACAAUUGCCACAAGGUGGCAGCACUUUUUUAUGACGCUUAACAUCAUAAGCAUGUGUACAAAGUUGACAUGUGACAAGUAUUAGGAUGUGACUUUAAAAGAUUGUGAACAGUAUACACAGCCGAUCAGUAAAUUCAGGAUGAA